GUUGAUUUACAGCUUGGUUUUGUAGAAAAAUAUUUAGUGAGCAAAGACUCUGCUGUAGAAAAGCUGAUCCUAUUUUUUUAUGUGGGCUUUACACCAGCUGAAUACUGAUGAAAAAAAAUCACAUUUGACAAUAUUGAUUUUAAGAUACUCUGAUGGUAUUAAAAUUUUAUAAAAAUGACAUGUUCUGAAAGGUAAUGAUUUAGUUAUUAAGCAAGGGGACAUGCUCUAAAAUUUGGAACCUUAAGAUUAAGAAUGUAUUUUUCUAAUGUCAGUCUCCUUUGAAGUUUCAUUUUUAUGAAGGGUUUUAUGUGUGUGUGUGUAUUGCCUAUAUUUAAACAUCUUUUUUCUCUGUGUUCUAAUGAUGACCGUGACAAAAAUUACUUUCUCCUGCGCCUAUAAAUUCAUUUUAAAGGUGGAAGGAUGCAUAAAAAUGUCUAGUUUCCGUGUAGAGUAGUAUUCGUAAUUCAAAUAGAUGGCAGCAUUUUAAAUGUGCUCUUUUGAUGUUUUUCACAGGUCGUGGCAAUUCUGCAGAAGUUCUAUUCCAACAGUGAAAGUGCAUUGGGGUUAAAUUUCAUCAAUGAGCUCAUCAUAAGGUUCCGGCACUGUUCUAAGUGGGUUGGAAGGCAAGCUUUCGCUUUCAUUUGUCAGAUUCUGAAAUGACUUCUUUGGGAUUAAAGAAGUGUAUGUUUCUAGAAGACUGCGGAAAACAUCAUUUCUUUGGCUGUGACUUUCUUGGAGCAGGCAGUGGUGAGCAAGGAGUGUGUCCC
Molecule: long non-coding RNA, 767 nt
Filed under: Homo sapiens (human)
Lineage: Eukaryota; Metazoa; Chordata; Mammalia; Primates; Hominidae
Description: non-protein coding lnc-ANKRD60-3:4
Source: RNAcentral